This 253-nucleotide ribosomal RNA is filed under the name uncultured bacterium. RNAcentral describes it as "partial 16S ribosomal RNA". It matches the Rfam family "Bacterial small subunit ribosomal RNA", at positions 524 to 776 of the family's 1533-position model. The record is from RNAcentral.
UACGGAGGAUCCAAGCGUUAUCCGGAAUCAUUGGGCUUAAAGGGUCCGUAGGCGGUUUUAUAAGUCAGUGGUGAAAUCUGGUCGCUCAACGAUCAAACGGCCAUUGAUACUGUAGAACUUGAAUUACUUGGAAGUAACUAGAAUAUGUAGUGUAGCGGUGAAAUGCGUAGAGAUUACAUGGAAUACCAAUGGCGAAGGCAGGUGACUACGAGUACAUUGACGCUGAUGGACGAAAGCGUGGGGAGCGAACAGG